GUGCACAUAGCCUGUCUUCUCUUGAGAGCCAGGUCUUUUUACGGCUGCCUUUCUCAAUAGCAAGGCUAUGCUCACUGAGUUUGUACGUAGUCAAAGCUUUCCUUAAGUUUGGGUCAGUCACAGUGGUCAGGUGUAACCGAUGUGAAAUGGCUAGUUAGUUAGCGGUGGUGCGCGCUAAUAGCAUUUCAAUCGGUGACGUCACUCGCUCUGAGACCUGAAGUGGUUGUUCCCCUUGCGUUGCAAGGGCCGCGGCUUUUGUGGCGCGAUGGGUAACGAUGCUUCGUGGGUGUCAGUUGUUGAUGUGUGCAAGGGUCCCAGGUUGGGGCGAAGAGAGGGACGGAACCUACACUGUUACACAGGUAUUCUGCCAUUGUGUACUCUCUGUUUAGGGCCAAAUAGCAUUCUAGUUUGCUCUGUUUUUUUGUUGUUAAUUCUUUCCAAUGUGUCAAGUAAUUAUCUUUUUGUUUUCUCAUGAUUUGGUUGGGUCUAAUUGUGUUGCUAUCCUGGGGCUCUGUGGGGUCUGUUUGUGUUUGUGAACAGAGCCCCAGGACCAGCUUGCUUAGGGGACUCUUCUCCAAGUUCAUCUCUCUGUAGGUGAUGGCUUUGUUAUGGACGGUUUGGGAAUCGCUUCCUUUAAGGUGGUUGUAGAAUUUAACGUCUCUUUUCUGGAUUUUGACAAUUAGCGGGUAUCGGUCUAAUUCAGCUCUGCAUGCAUUAUUUGGUGUUUUACGUUGUACAUGGAGGAUAUUUUUGGAGAAUUCUGCAUGCAGUCUCAAUUUGGUGUUUGAAUUCUUGGUUGGUGAGCGGACCCCUGACCUUAUAACCAUAAAGGGUAAUGGGUUCUAUAACUGAUUCAAGUAUUUUUAGCCAGAUCCCCCCUCUCUCUCUCUCUCUCUCUCUCUCUCUGUUAACCAGAUUGAAUUUAGCAGUGUCUCUCCUCCAGUCUGUAACACAUUCCUACCAUCUGUUGGAACUUGCUGGCAGGCAGGGAGGAGGAGGAAGCAGUGGUAUUUCCACGCUUUCUAUAAAUAGCUCAUAUGCCACAGUCAGUCAGUCAUCCAGUCAGUCAGUCUCAGUCGGUCAGUCGGCCGGUCAGCCGGUCAGUCACUAACCUCGAUCACUCCACACAAUGGAACCAUUCAGAUGCCCCGAGACAGAGAUCUAGUAUCAGUUUCUGAUCAGCGUCCAGAGGCAACUUCAACUUCCCCAAUCCCCCAUCAAUUCAGCUCGACAAGACAGAAUGUGAUGAUGUCACUUGUGAUGUCAUUUCCCAUUGGACCUGACUAAUUGCUAGACGUCCCUUCAAUGGAGGAAGAAACCAUCUGUUCACAGCAGAGCAGGAACAACACAUAGUGAAUAAGGUCAUUUCAAACAACAGCAUACGUUUACGACUACUGCAUCACCACAUCAUCACUGACAACACAACAUUCAGUACCAUAAAUAGGGUGAGUUUAUCGCACUUGGCCGUCUUCUGAAACGCUAUCAGAUUCGUAUGAAGCAGCUCUACAGAGUACCAUUUGAACAAAAUUCUGACAGUGAAACAACUGCGCUAUGAAUACGUACAAAGAGUUCUGGAACUAGAUGCUGCUGCAGAGCAUCAUGAUUUCGUCUACGUUGAUGAGGUCGGCUUUAACAUAGCUAAAACAAGCCGCAGGGGAAGAAACCUCAUAGGACACCACCAUCGUCAAUGUCUCUGGACAGCGUGGUGACAACAUCACAAUGUGUGCAGCCAUUAGUCAGAAUGGUGUCCUUCAUCGCUUGUGAUGUUGAUGGGGUACUGUGGCCAGACCCAAAAUGGAGACAGGAUGCACCCUAAUUGUUUUUUUCUUUAUAAUAACAAGCCUAUUUGUUUUUCUUCUACUGUAUUUGUUUAAUCUGUUACUGUUCAUCCCGAAAUCUGGAUGAAAAUACAAAAUACUAUGUUUUGAGAAAGAAAUACAUUACAUUUUUCCCCCCUUGCAUUUCUGUUUAUAGUGUAAAUAUAUACUGAAUAUGCAUACAUACUGUAUAUAUUUUUGCAUAUACAUGUAUGUGUGAGUGCUUUGACAAACUGCCGUGGACUCCACUGCACACUGAACAUGCAAAAGACACAAGAUAGUAGUGUUUUCCAUUUGUCACAUCCGUGUGUAGUUGGCGUGUAUAAGAGCUAAUCAUUUGAUGGUUUGUGUGAAGAGUUUUGAUGCAAAAACACAAUUUUGAGAAUUUUGAGUUAAAAUCGUUUUGAAUGAAGUGUUUGGUUUUGCAAGAGAUGUGUGCCGUUUUGCAUGUUGUGUGUGCUUUAGGGUUUUGUGUGUAGAGUCUAGAGAAAAGGAGCCGUAGUUUCAGAAAUCAUGUGUAAGCAAUUGUCAAAAACUGUAAUAUGAAGUCAUACUUUGAUUAACUGGUACACGUUGGAUUAGACUGUGGAUCCACAGGCUUAUCUUUUCAGAGGAACCCACAACCCAGUCUCUUUUCUAUUACUCUCUUUUCUACUCUACUUCUCCAUUCUCUCUCUUUCUACCUCUCCCACUCUGUCUAUCAUACACAUGUCCACAGUGGUGGAAAAAGUACCUAAUUGUCAUAUUUGAGUAAAAGUAAAGAUACCUGAAUAGAAAAUGACUCAAGAAAAAGUGAAAGUCACCCAGUAAAAUACUACUUGAGUAAAAGUCUAAAAGUAUUUGGUUUUAAAUGUACUUAAGUAUCAAAAGUAAAUGUAAUUGCUAAAAUACACUUAAGUAUCAAAAGUCUAAGUAAAAGUAUCAUUCAUUUCAAAUUCCUUAUUUAAACAAACCAGAUGGAACAAUUUUCUUGUUUUAUUUUAUUUACGGAUAGCCAGGGGCACACUCCAACACUGAGACAUAAUUUACAAACAAAGCAUGUGUGUUUAUGGAGUGCCCCAGAUCAGAGGCUGUAGGUAUGACCAGCGAUGUUCUCAUGAUAAGUGCAUGAAUUGGACAAUUUUCUGAGCAGGACAGCUCAGCAUUCGAAAUGUAAUGACUACUUUUGGGUGUCAGGAAAAUGUAUGGAUUAAAAAGUACAUUCUUUUCUUUUGGGAAUGUAGUGAAGUAAAAGUAAAAGGAGUCAAAAAAUAUCAAUAGUAAAGUAAAAUACAAAAAAACUACUUAAGUAGUACCUUAAAGUAUUUUUUACUUAAGAACAAAUACUUUAUACCACUGCAUGUACAUUAACUUCCUCUCUCUCCCUCUCUCUCGCUCUCUCCCUGGGGGGUUAGGAUUAAAUCAUGCACAUUCACUAAUUAAUGAUUCCAAUAGUCAAAGCUAUUUGGAUGAAGUUGCUCCCAGACACUGAUCUACUGUCAGUUUUGUUUUCCCCUCCACUUGUUAAGGUUAGUAUUCAAAGAGGGGAAGCUGAUUCUAGAUAUGUGCCUAAUGGCAAUUUUAAGUCAUUAUUG
RNAcentral lists this long non-coding RNA (3391 nucleotides) under Salmo salar (Atlantic salmon). RNAcentral describes it as "lncRNA (ENSSSAG00000089816.1, ENSSSAG00000093547.1)". Lineage: Eukaryota; Metazoa; Chordata; Actinopteri; Salmoniformes; Salmonidae. The record is from RNAcentral.